Long non-coding RNA from Schistocerca americana (American grasshopper), 477 nucleotides. RefSeq lists it as uncharacterized. NCBI's taxonomy places the organism in Eukaryota, Metazoa, Arthropoda, Insecta, Orthoptera, Acrididae. The transcript has 3 exons. The record is from RefSeq and is a predicted model, not a curated record.
GAUGGUCAUGACCAUACAGGAUAUUUCUGCCAGCUCGUAAUCAAGUGAAUUCAUGGAUUUGAUACGUCAGUUCUGCUAAUGAAGUGAUGUUAUUUUUUAGUGUUACAAGCUUCUAAACAAAUGGGUCCAUGUGGACACAGUGGGAACAUUAGUAUCUUGGGAUGUCUAAAUUAUCAACAGAAGUUAUUAUGAUGAAUGAUGAAGCUUCUGAUGGUAUCAAAAAACUGCAGGAAUAUUUGGAUGAUGAAGUGAUUGAAAAUAAUGUGGACUAAUGGAAGACUCAGAUGCAGUGAGGGAAGAGCCUUGUAAUGGUUUGCCAGUUGAGCCUGUUUCUCAGUCUUUUGACUCUAAUGAUAAUUAAACAGAAAUUACCACUAGGCCUACUCUUUGUAAUGGUGAUAGUGAUGACUUGUUAUCAUUGUGCAAAAAGUAUAGAAACAAAAAAGUUUUGUGUAGAGAAACAUAUAGAAGCAUGUG